This is an RNA transcript of Chrysemys picta bellii (western painted turtle), 4499 nucleotides long. RefSeq lists it as uncharacterized. NCBI's taxonomy places the organism in Eukaryota, Metazoa, Chordata, Testudines, Emydidae. The record is from RefSeq and is a predicted model, not a curated record.
UGGGCCCUUUUAAAUCACCUAAGCACCUGGGUGAUUCCCGCUCCCGGUCAGCAGGCCUGUUCAGUUCUCAUUUGUAAGGUCAUUGUAACAAGCAAUUGUUUUUAAAUGAAAGUUUAAAUUCUUCAAAAACUGAUGCAUAAGGCUUCACGCUCACCCCAGGCAAAUGGAUUUUUCAAGCCCUGCACCUGAUUAGCUAGCCUACAGAUUGCCUGAGAACAGCAGUCCCUAUGUCAGCCAACGUGGCAGAUAACAUGCUUUUUUCCUCAUUUCCAAAGGAAUUAUGGCUUCAUUAGGCUGCUACAAAGCAGAUACCCCCCCAAAGCAGUGUGGUCUAGUGGACUGGGCACUUGUGCAGGAGUUGGGAAACCCGAGUUCUAGGUCUAGGUCUGGCAUUGCUACUGAUCUACUGUGUUACCUUGGGCAAGUCACUUCAAUUCUCUGUGCUUCUGUUUUUCCUCCUACCUCUGUCUGUUUUCUUUGUUUGGAUUGUAAACUCUUCAGGGCAGGGAAUGUCAUCCACUGUUUAUUUGUACAGUGCCCAAUGGAACGGGGUUUCUACCUUGAUUGGAUCACCUAAGAUUCUAAAUAAUAAUGAGCCUAGAAGUGAUUUCCAGCAAAUCUCCCACUGAAAAUAACAGAUUUACCUGGCCAAGAGGAGAUCCAUAUGUCAGUGCCACUAACACCAAGGAAGAUUCCAGAACCUUGACAGUAUUGAAGUAGAGUUGGAGGCAACCCUUGGGACUCAAAGGGUUAACUCCUGCUCAGAGUUCUCCACCCAGGCGACUAGGAAGAGAGGCAAUGAUCUAAAGCAGAGCCUGCUUAACUAAGCAUGGAGAAGCUAAAAAGUCAGAACAGGCUGACUCUAACUCAUAGAACCAUUGAAGAAGGAUGCCUUGAGGUGAAGAGUUCUCAGAUUGGGAUGCAGCAGUCAACCAGUGUCCUGCAAGAGGAGUGGAGGAAUGAUUGGAGGAUUUAUUUCUGGACAGAAAGCUAGGUGAAGCAGAUUGCAGUUACCGUUGGCACCAAUCGGAGGAAGGGAACUUCCAUACCUACACUGUGAUGAUUUCUCCACCAGUUUGGGGAGUGUUUUACCUGUUGGGGAACCGAUACCUAUUGGUAUAAGCUGUGUCUGCUUGGUUCCAGGAGAGCCUCAUUCAGAGGGCAGAUGACUCUGGAUGGAGUUGCAGAGUGGAGAAUAUCCAACCAUUUGGGUUGUGAUUCUUUGAUUUGUUGAGAGGUAUCUGUAGGUUGUCUGUCACCUGUUUGACAAGUUCUUGGAAUUGCUGAAAAUCAUCAUCCAUAGAAAGAGAAGGAUACAUUACCACCUCAUCAGGUGAUGAGAACAAGAUGGUAGUCUGAGGGGUAACUUCUUUGCCUGCCCUAGCCUCUUGAUCCACAAACAUAUCCUGUUGAAUGAUGUGUUGGGAAGGAAAAUUUUGUGCCUCCCUAUCAUUCUGAUGAGACAGGGUUGGGGGCCUGGAGAAUUGUUGGUGAUAACUGCCCCUGGGUCCCAAUAUGGCCAUUGAGGUUUAUAUGGGGGUGAGGGUGGCAGCUAAGGUUGCUGCCACCAAGCAACAUGUGCUCAGCUGAAGUAAUCCCUGUCUCCUCCAUGGCUCUUGAUACUGGCAAGCAAUGGAGACUCUGGAUCAGCAGUCACCGAUAAAUUCAUUAGGUACCUCAAGUGUUGCGGUACUGCAUGUAGUUGUGGCGCUGACUGUAGUCACGGAGCCGAGCGGACAGUGUGCUUCUCCCUGACAGAUGGUACCGAAGGCUUUGAGCACUCUGAGGUAGCUACUGAUGUAGACAGGGGCUUGGUCACAUGUGGAACUGAAGAGCCUGUUACAGGAGAUACAGGAAGAGUCAUUAUGUCCGACGGUACUGCUUUUCUAUGCCCAUCUCUUCCAGACGGCACAAGUGCCUUCUUGGAACUAGGUUUUCUGUUAGAGCUACAGGGUCUCUCUAACCCACCAGUACUGGAGAAACCCUUAGCCUCUGUGGUACUAUGCCUCAAGGUGAAGGCUUCCAAAUCCAUUGAUUUGCUUGGAGAGCAAAGUCUUUUCAAGGUGGACUCAUUAAAAGGUGUGUUAGAGCUUCUCUUCUUUGGACAUUUAGAGGAGGUCUCUGAACCCUUCCCCUUUCUAGGGGAGUGCUGGGCCAAGGUCAAUGGGGCACUAGGUACCCCCGGAGACUGAUGUACAGGGGGUUCUACUGACCUGGCUCCACACCAGGUUGAAGGGAAUGCUCCAUCAUUAACAGUCGCAGCUUGAUUUCCUGUUUCUUUCUUGUCCUGGAUUUGAGGGCUAAACAGAAGUUACAUUUCAGCAGAACACGGGCCUCUCCUAAACAGAGAACACACGUAGAGUAUCCGUCGCUGAAUGGGAUGGCCUCAUGUCAUGUGAGGUAGCGUUUAAAACACAGUGUACUGGGCAUGCCCUCUCUGGGAGGAAGGGCUCCCAUGAAGUCCUCCAAAUAAAAGUCAACAAACUAAUUAACUAACUAGAACUAAAUGAAUCUAAUCUAAUCUGAACUAACUAAAAUUACCAAAGGCAAAGUAGCUGACAUGCACUUGCUGCAGUCUCACUAAGGUACAUCUCAGGCACAGAUAGCUGAGAAGGAACUGAGGGCAGUUUGCCUGUGCAGCCCUAUAUAGCCUCGGUGUGGGGCACGAGGAUUUCUAGGGUACAUGCAUAGGCUGAAUGGAUAUCGCUAAUGAAAAUCUCUGGUCAAAGGUGCAUGGGGCUCACAUGCACCUGAAAUGGAGCACCCAUAGGGACACUACCUGAAGAUGAAAAAUAAGUUCCUCUUCAGAUGAAAAUUAGUUUGCAUUUAUGUUGCUUUAAUUUUCUUUUAGAGAUGAUAAUCCUCAUAGUAUUUAUACUUUGAAACAUUUCUUAUUUUAUUUAAGACUUUAUGUUGAAAGGUGGAUAAAUUAAUCACAACUAUGUUCCCCACAAUUGAAAGAAUAACUUUUGGUUACAGUGUAAUCUCAUCUUGAAAAGAAACCUCCAAUUUGUUAUUUCAAAAUAAAAUAGACUGUACCAUUUUAACCUUAGAAUCAAAUUUACUUUUCACCUGAAUUUUAAAAGUGAUCAACUUUCCCCCUCUUCUGUUGGCCUAGUUUAAUCUCUGAAAAGCUCCAUCUUUAUUGGUUUGGAGGAUUGAAAAUCUCCUAGAGUUAAAAAUUCAUUAACCUUUCUAUCUUCCUUCACCCUGCAUGGUGCUCUCCUUGUCUAGAGCUGCCCUCUGCUGAUAAAUGUUUGAACUACAUAUUUCAAAUUUCAGCCAAUCUAUUGAAAAGUCAAGUGAAAUGAAUACAAACAAUUUAGAGCUUGAUUCUAUAGGGUGCCGACCGCCUUCAAAAUCCAGGGAGUCCAAGAGAGUUGGAGGUGCUCAGCACCACCCAAAAUAGCAAUCUGCCGCUUGGAGGACUGACCCCUAAAUUAUUAAAUAAAAAUAUUUGUCCUAUAUACUUUACUUGAAUUUAUACACAUUAAAUAUCUGCACUAGAACUUGCCAGUUUUUUCUGAAGUUGUUAAUCACUUACACUUAUCUGUCUGCUAAAGUUAGGGCUUCAAUAGUCCUUUCCCAAUGAAACCACACUGUUAUUUCCAAGGACAUAUUCUCUUGCAUUGUUCUGCAUAAUAUUCUGUUGUAUAAAUGCAUAUAUGAUUACAUGUCAGCCAUACAGGAAUAAUUUAGAUUGUCUGUGAAGCAUAGAUCAGUCAGUUUAAAGAGACACCAUUGUUCUGAUUCUCUUCUUACAUUGGUUUAACUUCAUUUCCUUUGAUGGAAUUACUACUGAUCAUUAAUGUUGGGGAGACUAGAAUCAAACUCAUAGUUUGAUUGACUCUUAAAUUAAAUCUGCUUAUAGUCACUCUAAUAUUCAGAAAAUCCUGCAGUCAUUUAUUUCCAACUAUCGCCUCCUUCCAAAAAUUCUCCCACCUUCCUAUUACCUCCCUCCCUUUCGACACAGGAAUUUGAUUUCAAUGGGAGUUAGGUGCCUAAGCACCUUUGAGGAUCGGGGCCUAGCUGUCUUCUUCAAAGAUCAGUUCCAUUCUCCUUCUCCACUAUUCUUUCCAUAGGCACCCUCCCCAUCCCCCUCUGCCCUCCCGCCUGCUGGUGGGCUCUGCCGAUCAGCUCCUCCACCUCUUGCCCAGUGGUGAUCAGUUGUUCAGUGGCAUGCAGGAGGCGCUGGGGGGGAGAGGGGAGGAGCGGGGUCAGGAAGAGGCGGGGCUGGAGUCCAACACCCCUGGGGAAAUCACAAAAUCGGCACCUCUGACUCUUUCCUCCAACAAACUCUCUCCCCUGUCACUAAGGUUUCUUGUGCCUUCUCCUGCAUCCCCUCUACCCCUCCUCUCUUGCUUCCUAACCUGACCUCUGAUUCAUAGAUUAUAAAGCCAGAACAGACCGUUGUGAUCAACUGGUCUGACCUCCUGCAUAACACAGGCCAUAGGACUACCCUGCAUUAAUUUCUGUUUGAACAAGAGCAUCUCUUUUAG